Molecule: non-coding RNA, 74 nt
Organism: Ameiurus melas (black bullhead)
Lineage: Eukaryota; Metazoa; Chordata; Actinopteri; Siluriformes; Ictaluridae
Source: the annotation of a GenBank genome assembly
GCACACGGGCUUAGUGGUUAGCACGUUCGCCUCACACCUCUAGGGUCCCAGGUUCGAUUCCCGCGGAGUUUGCA